Molecule: non-coding RNA, 794 nt
Organism: Struthio camelus australis
Lineage: Eukaryota; Metazoa; Chordata; Aves; Struthioniformes; Struthionidae
Source: RefSeq, a predicted model, not a curated record
UUCUAGGCUUCUUCAUGACAGAUAUCAACAUAAGAAGUCCAGAUCCUGGGCCACAUCCAAGCUGCAUUCAGAAAAGAGAUGAGUUUUCUCAAUUGAUGUGUUUCUUGGACUGAGACUCUAACCCCAUUUUCUGAAAGAGAUAUGAAAAAGAAUGCAUGUGUCAGUUCUCUCUAUGGCAAUGGAAAGGCCCUGGACCCAAGUUAAACAAGUUGAAUGGCAAGUAUUGUCUGCGAUAAGGAAAAAAGAAGACAAGCAACAGGGCCAAGACUUCAUCCAGACUUUAAGUAUCUGACAGUAUCAGCAUGGGAUCUCUGUUGAUACAGAACAAAGAAGCUAAGAGGAAAAAGACUGAUGGAAAAUGUGGUGUUUGUAUCUGCUUAAUGAAAAGUUAACUAUCCACUUCCUGUUUUAUAAUGUCUGGUGCAGGAUGACUUCAAGCAAAUAAAGAAGGGUUUUUUUGUCUAAGUCCAGUUCUUCUGUUUUGCGGGUGAAAAUUACAUCUUCAGAUUGAGAACAUCCAUGAACUUGUGCUGCUGGCUGCUUGAGUUAUAAAACCAGAUAUGAAGGGGUAAAAACAAUCAUCUCUCUCAUCCCACCAGCUGAUGUUGCCAAACUGUUGGCAUAUAUAUUGUGGGAGCAAUUUCCACCUCCAUAGGAAAGCUACACUGCUGACGUUUUAUUUCUUGGUGUACUUCCUUACACUUCCUCAGAAAAAUAACAAGGUUUCUUGUACUUCUCAUAUAAAUGUUCUGAGAAACUAAAUUAAAUUAUACUUCUGAAACAUGAUGAGGUGU